CGGGUAGGGGUCGUAACCGUACGGCGAGGGAGACGGCGGUGGGUACCCGUGCUGCUGCGAGUGCGGCGGGUACGCGUGCUGCGGAUGCGGAGGGUAGGCCUGCUGCUGGUGCGGCGCCGGCGGCGGGUAGGGCUGGAGAGGGCCGGAGUGGUGCGCGAACUGCUGCGGCGGCGCGGGGGAGUAGGCCGGGAAGGAGGUCGAGGGAGCGAGGUAGGGGGACGCCGGCGCGGCGGACAGCGGCGGGUACUGCUGGUGCUGGUAGGGGUACGGGUAGGGCUCCGGCUGCGGAUGCGGCGGGUACUGGUGGUACUGGUGCGGCGGCUGCCCCUGCCCCCCGUGGUUGCUUCCCUCCAUUGCCGAUCUCGCUGCGGGUGUGUAUCCCUAGAUUGUUUUCCCCCGAAUUGUUCGAUCCGGCUCUCGCCGCCCAGUCGUCGGUUUGACGAAGGUGAGGGGGGCGCGGCUAGGGGCGGCGGCCGCGGGGUGGCGUGCGUGAAAAUGGUGGAGUCGUGGGCGGCGACCACGACGGAAAUGAGAUCGAAAUCGGGGACGGUCGUUGGGGUUGGCCGGGCCCGGGACGGCGGCCAAGGCCAACUGGGUUCCCCACGCCCGGCCGGAUGUGGACGCUGACCAGUU
RNAcentral lists this ribosomal RNA (633 nucleotides) under Triticum aestivum (bread wheat). RNAcentral describes it as "partial small subunit ribosomal RNA". Lineage: Eukaryota; Viridiplantae; Streptophyta; Magnoliopsida; Poales; Poaceae. The record is from RNAcentral.